UAAAAUUUUAUCAAAAAUUUGAAAAAAAAACAAAAUUUUCUUUUGGCACGUAUUUUAUUAUGCAUGCAUCCGUUGGUUUCGUGGUUUGGUUUCCCAUAAAUUGGGUGGUUUAAACUUUUUUUUCGUAAAUUGCUUACACGAGCUGAUCAAAAAGUUGCUUUCAUGCCAUUUUUGCACGUAUGAGGAAAGCAAAAGUAAAACCAGACUUUUCCAAAACCGGUUUGAAAUAUAAAAUAUGUUUUAGUCGGACUAUGUAUUUGUGGAUUUAGUUCUAAUCUGCUCAUUAUUAGAGCUCAACCUUGGCCUUGACUUGAGUUACACUUUCGCUUGACCGUUACAAUAAAUAAAAUUUACAUCUUAUUACACGUGAGAGAGAUGAGUGACAAUGUAACGAAGAAAAAAAACUCAUUAGCUCCAAUAACUCCUAAUUGUUCGGUCGAAAAGCUAAUUCAAUUCAUGGUCGGGAUUUUUUUGAAGAAGAAGAUUAGAUCAUUAUUAUUACACUUUUCUUCCUCCCUUCCUUGUCAAAAUAUUUUACUCGUGGUUGAAUGGUUUGGUUCCUUCCCGGUUGGAGAGUUUGAAAUUAAUUAAUUAAGUAAUUUGUACAUAUUUUGAAAUUUGGUAAGCUAUUUGUCAUAAAUAAAAGUAGGAAAUGUAAAAAAGAAGUAAAUAAGUUAAUUAGUUAAUUAAUGAUGACUUUAGUACACAGAAAGACAAAAGAAUUUAGCCCGUAGUGGUAAAAAUAUCAAAUUUUGCUUCCUUAUAUGCAUCCAUUUCAGAUUUAGAUAAAUGACGCAUUCUAUAAAUCUAAUUUUUUUAGGGGUGCAAAUCUAGUUAAGACAUAAACCUGGUUGGUCUAAUCAUUAAUAAGGACCUGCGAAUAUGCACAAGUCGAAAUUUUACAAAAAACGUACCUACUUAUUAAUUGCAUUGUUUAAAGAUUGAUGACAUCUUAAUACUUAAAAGAGGACAUUAAAUUCGCAUUAGUCAGUAAUUCA
This is a long non-coding RNA of Folsomia candida, 998 nucleotides long. RefSeq lists it as uncharacterized. The transcript has 2 exons. Lineage: Eukaryota; Metazoa; Arthropoda; Collembola; Entomobryomorpha; Isotomidae. The record is from RefSeq and is a predicted model, not a curated record.